Transfer RNA from Lachancea dasiensis, 75 nucleotides. It matches the Rfam family "tRNA". Rfam says of the family: Transfer RNA (tRNA) molecules are approximately 80 nucleotides in length. Their secondary structure includes four short double-helical elements and three loops (D, anti-codon, and T loops). The record is from Rfam. Lineage: Eukaryota; Fungi; Ascomycota; Saccharomycetes; Saccharomycetales; Saccharomycetaceae.
GGGCUAAUGGCGCAGUUUUGGUAGCGCGUUCGCUUCGCAUGUGAAAGGUCACCGGUUCAAACCCGGUUUAGUCCA